This 558-nucleotide ribosomal RNA is filed under the name Triticum aestivum (bread wheat). RNAcentral describes it as "partial small subunit ribosomal RNA". The record is from RNAcentral. Lineage: Eukaryota; Viridiplantae; Streptophyta; Magnoliopsida; Poales; Poaceae.
AUGGGCGACGACGGCGCGAAGGCGGCCACGACGACGAUCGUGCGCCUGCGGGAGCUGCUGCACAAGUGGGCGCUCGGUGCCAGGGGCGACGCCGACGACGGCGAGGAGGAGGAGGAGACGCACGCGCCGGCGGCGGGGGCGGGGGCGGGAGCGGGAGGUGCGCCGCCGUCGAUCCCGCCGUUCGUGCUGCGGCGGCUGACGAGGACGGUGACGGUGGACUCGGACGACGAGGGCUGCCACAGCCCGGAGGCGGCGCCGGACGUGCCCAGGGGGUACUGCCCGGUGUACGUGGGGCCGGAGCAGCGGCGGUUCGUGAUCCCGACCAGCUAUCUGGGGCACCCCGUCUUCCGGCUCCUCCUGGAGAAGGCCGAGGAGGAGUUCGGGUUCCGGCACGAGGGCGCGCUGGCCAUCCCCUGCGAGACCGAGGCCUUCAAGUACAUCCUCCAGUGCGUCGAGCGCCACGACAAGGGCCUCGCCGCCGACGACGUCGACGUCGACGAAGAAGCGAACCUGCGCAGUGUGCUAGAGCCAGCGUCGUCAAUUCGUCAUGUUUCGUAG